AUUCGUCUUCGUGUCGCAGUUGCAUCUCGCAUAACUCGAAACAUUGACAAAGGAGGCAUGAAGAAAGGAGGAUAAUCGACAUCGUUGCCUGCGAUAUUGCUUCGAACAGACUGCGCGAAAAAAGAGCAGAGAUCGUCACUUAACGAAGAUCAUUUUUCCUCGUUCAAAGUCUCUCAACCCGAAAAGCGGGUUCAUUAUUGAUACGCCUCACCAUUUUGUCGACGCCUUAAUGCCCCUCCGCUCUUUAAUGACGGCGUUAAUAAGGAUGGUGCUGCGCUACUUACGUGCUAAAGGACGCGACGAGGACGGAGCCGGCCUGGAUCCUGCCUCUCUUCGGGCUACCAUCGACAUAAUCCGAGAACGGGAAGAAGCACGGGCAAAAAAGAGAAUCGAGAGAUGGAAGAAGAAGAAGAAGAAGAAGAAGAAGAAACAAGAGACGACCAUCCCUCGCUCUCUUUCUCUCUCUUUCUAACCGUUGCGUCCUUCAGGAAAGAAAAACGGAGAGACGGCGACCGGGAGAAGAAUGAAAAGGGAAAUGGAACGAAGUUGGCUAGCUCGAGGAAAGA
Molecule: long non-coding RNA, 566 nt
Organism: Apis florea (little honeybee)
Lineage: Eukaryota; Metazoa; Arthropoda; Insecta; Hymenoptera; Apidae
Source: RefSeq, a predicted model, not a curated record